This 492-nucleotide ribosomal RNA is filed under the name uncultured bacterium. Its description in RNAcentral is "partial 16S ribosomal RNA". It matches the Rfam family "Bacterial small subunit ribosomal RNA", at positions 29 to 507 of the family's 1533-position model. The record is from RNAcentral.
AGUGAACGCUGGCGGUAGGCCUAACACAUGCAAGUCGAACGGCAGCACAGUAAGAGCUUGCUCUUACGGGUGGCGAGUGGCGGACGGGUGAGGAAUACAUCGGAAUCUACUUUUUCGUGGGGGAUAACGUAGGGAAACUUACGCUAAUACCGCAUACGACCUACGGGUGAAAGCAGGGGAUCUUCGGACCUUGCGCGAUUGAAUGAGCCGAUGUCGGAUUAGCUAGUUGGCGGGGUAAAGGCCCACCAAGGCGACGAUCCGUAGCUGGUCUGAGAGGAUGAUCGGCCACACUGGAACUGGGACACGGUCCAGACUCCUACGGGAGGCAGCAGUGUGGAAUAUGGGACAGUGGGCGCAAGCCUGAUCCAGCCAUACCGCGUGGGUGAAGAAGGCCUUCGGGUUGUAAAGCCCUUUUGUUGGGAAAGAAAAGCAGCAGGUUAAUACCCCGCUGUUCUGACGGUACCCAAAGAAUAAGCACCGGCUAACUUCGUG